This 301-nucleotide ribosomal RNA is filed under the name uncultured bacterium. RNAcentral's name for it is "partial 16S ribosomal RNA". It matches the Rfam family "Bacterial small subunit ribosomal RNA", at positions 509 to 807 of the family's 1533-position model. The record is from RNAcentral.
CAGCCGCCGCGGGAAUACGUAGGGUGCGAGCGUUAAUCGGAAUUACUGGGCGUAAAGCGUGCGCAGGCGGCUUUGCAAGACAGAUGUGAAAUCCCCGGGCUCAACCUGGGAACUGCAUUUGUGACUGCAAGGCUAGAGUACGGUAGAGGGGGAUGGAAUUCCGCGUGUAGCAGUGAAAUGCGUAGAUAUGCGGAGGAACACCAAUGGCGAAGGCAAUCCCCUGGACCUGUACUGACGCUCAUGCACGAAAGCGUGGGGAGCAAACAGGAUUAGAUACCCCUGUAGUCCCUGUCUCUUAUAC